This 300-nucleotide long non-coding RNA is filed under the name Lathyrus oleraceus (garden pea). RNAcentral's name for it is "Pisum sativum (pea) long non-coding RNA (PSAT_LNC015841)". The record is from RNAcentral. Lineage: Eukaryota; Viridiplantae; Streptophyta; Magnoliopsida; Fabales; Fabaceae.
AUUCCCAUUUUAUCCUUAAUUGGUUUUAACCAAUUUACCAUUUCAUUUUUACCAUUCUGUUGAAAAUUGCAAAAAUUACACUUUCACACCCCUCGCACCGGAACUCUUUGGAGAAGACUUCCGGUAUGUAUUUUCCAAACCGGAAGACUUUAGGAAAGACUUCCGGAACACAAAAAAAAAACAAACCGGAACACUUAAGGAAAGAGUUCCGGUUCAUAUAAAAAAAAAUUCAAAAAAAUUUGCAUACCGGAACUCUUCUCCAAAGAGUUCCGGUAUGCAUUAUGUGUGUUCCGGAAGUCU